Molecule: long non-coding RNA, 224 nt
Organism: Hippoglossus stenolepis (Pacific halibut)
Lineage: Eukaryota; Metazoa; Chordata; Actinopteri; Pleuronectiformes; Pleuronectidae
Exons: 2
Source: RefSeq, a predicted model, not a curated record
CGAGUUGAGGCGUAAACUUCCAUGACACUUCAUACCUGUCAGUAGGACCCCUAAGCCUAACGGACAGAACAAGUGGCGGCAUAUCAAGGGAGACAAGCUCUGCCCCAGGCCUGUUGACUCCGCUGGUGACCCUGUUGCUCAGUUUGCUUACCGCCAAAAUUCUGGUCUAGGGAGAUCAGUGAUGAUCGCUAUUUUAAAAUUAAUCAACAUAUUUGGAUUAUAAC